RNAcentral lists this long non-coding RNA (767 nucleotides) under Androctonus crassicauda. Lineage: Eukaryota; Metazoa; Arthropoda; Arachnida; Scorpiones; Buthidae. The record is from RNAcentral.
CAUGGAAAUGCUUCAAUGUCCUAUUGCAUUAUAAUUUAACAUAAUCUAACACAAUGUUCAUAGACAAUAUUGUAUACUUGAGUUAGCACUCAGAUAGAAACCUACAGUAACAGUUAUGAAUAUGAUUAUCUGGUUUUCUAUCUCUCUUACAGGGAAACAAAGUAAAUUAAAACUUUAUUCAGUUUUGUUAACAUUAAAAAUUUUUAAUUUAAAUUUAGUUUUUAGUUUAUAUUUAAUUUUAUAAUAAAUUAUUUUAAGAUUUUAUAUUGUAUCUCUUGGAACAUGUGGAAAGGAAUUUUCUAUUUAUUAUUAUUAAUCCAUAAUUUUUAAAAAUGUGUAUUUAUUUAUAAAUGUUACUUAUUUAUACAUAUAAACAAUCUUUUGAGGGAUCCUGCAAGAAAUAUCUAAUUGGGUCCCAUACUAACUGCCCUGACUACAUAUAUAAAUAUUUCAAAAUGAUACUCUAUAUACCAUUCAUAAUGCAGUUAUCUGUACACAGUCUAAUUAUUUCAAAUUAUAAAUACUAUAUUUUUAAUUCAAGAAAAAUUUUAUAUUUCAUAUUUGUAACAUUUAUAAAAUUAGGAAAUUCAUAAAUUCCUAAAUGAGUUUUUUUAAAACAAAAAUGAAUAUACCUGAGUAAUAAAAUUUUAAUCAACCAAACUACGGAAACUGUGAUCAUAGAUAUGGAAAAAGAUACUCUUAGCUGUAUUGGAGAAGAAUAUGAAUCUAUGAUUAUAAACACUGAAAUGCAUCGUAACAUUAUAUGC